Molecule: long non-coding RNA, 3967 nt
Organism: Alexandromys fortis (reed vole)
Lineage: Eukaryota; Metazoa; Chordata; Mammalia; Rodentia; Cricetidae
Exons: 3
Source: RefSeq, a predicted model, not a curated record
UUCUUUGAUGCUGUGAAAGAUGCAUGGUGCUUGUUUCCGACGAGGAAGACAGGCCGGUCGCGAGGCCUCGAGGUUUAGUUUCCAUUCUCAGAUAGCGGGCCACAGAAUCACUGGCUCGGCAGCUGCACUCUUAAAAGUACAAAAAAUACAGCCUCGAUUGAUUUCUUCAGGGUUGAGGGGAUCAAAACCCCUCUCUUCUUUUUAAGGAGCCCUGUGAUUUCCUCUACAAUGACUCAGCAACAUGGGAUCAGUAAGUUGUCACUUCUCCGGUGGCCUUAGAGUAGAAGGAAGUUUGCUUCAGCCACACCAGGUGGCAGUAUGACUCGAGCCUGUAAGGACACGGAACAGGACAAAAUGACUAAUAUCCUUGAUGAGCGGCUGAAUCAAUCUGCCAUGGCUCUUGAGCAAUCAAGGGGCAGCUCAACCCUGGCAUUGUCUCCUGAGGAAGGAUUUCAUCAGAGCGUGCCUGGUUCCCAUGCAGGCAGCGAGAAUUGGUGGGAUCACCAAGUGGCAAACAGCUAUCACCAAAUUCUCAAUGUCAUUCGUCAUCAUCCACUGCCCUUCACGCAGAUCCAUUGACUUAUCAUCCCUGGGCAAGGACUCGAAGGCUGCCAUCCUGAAACCAAAAGGUCAAGGCUUUCCAGGAAGUGGGAGGGUUCUGCUCAUUAAGAGCUCACUGAGGCCGAGCAUAGCUUGGAAAAUUUAAUUUGAACAAAAUCAGUCCUGUACUCAAUGAGAAUUCCUGCCCCAGAGAUAGGACAAGGGCCAUCUGCCCCUCAAAGGUAUUAAAAUCCACAGUAUAAUAAAAAGUAGUAGAAUUUUCUCAUCUCAAACACAAGUAUGGUAGAUUUAGAACAUGGAGACAAUGGAUUAUGAGUGUACAUUUUGACAUCUUUUGUCUCCAAACAUUAAAAUUCAAUGGACCUAAUAUAGUAGUAAAAAUUCCACUCACAAGGGACAAGAAGUGUGACAUCAGUAAGAUGAUAUAGAAAUGCAGUUUGUUCCGUUAGUGGCCAGCAGUGGGAACCAAACGCGUUAGUGAUUUAGAAUCCAUUCCCUGUGUGUUUAUAUGUGUACUUUGUAGUAAAAAAUGCACAAAAAACAGAAACACUUUUUCAUUGGGGUAAGUAAUUUUACUUGAGUGUCUUUCUAUAGUUGUAAGUCACACACACACACGCAUGCACAAACUCACAAACACAAACAGCAUAUUUGCUCUGCUUGACUAUACAGACUGCAAUAAAAUCCAUCUUCGCUGCUUCUGAAUUCAGCUCACAUAGCCCUCGCAUAGGCUCCAAGGAGGUUCAAGCUGCUCUGAAAUAGUCAUCAUGAUCCAUUACACUCAGCUCCUUGCAGCUUUUGUUCCCAGUUGUCUGUGAUACUAUGAUGUGGAAGAAAAUUUAAAAUAGAUCUUGACCUUGUACAGGAUGGGGUUAGAAUUGCACUCGUUCAAAAUAUACUUAGAAUUACCGUCAGAAUAUAACUGAAUAAUCCAGGGCAAAAGUAAUAUUUUUAAAAUGGAUAUAUUAAAUUAAUAUUACUUCUUUAUUGAAAGAGGUACCUUAGAAGAAAAAAAAUGCUUUUUGGGAUUCUGGGUUGGUUUGCAGGGGAAAGUAGAAAACUCAAGCUGAUAAUUUAAGGACUAUAGGCUUACUGAAAAAAUAUAUAUCCCGGGAGCAAAACAAUUUUGCUUAAGUGUACAGUUAAAACUUGUUUUAGCAUUUGAUGAGGUGGUUCACACAUGUAAUCUUAUGUGAAACCAGGAGGCUGAAACAGCAGAAUCUCCAUAAAUUUCAGGCAAUCUUGGGCUACUCUGUCUAAAAAUAUCUACCCUAAAAUUACUUUAAAUUUUAAUUUUGUAAUGUUUAUGGUAUAUAUGUGUGUAUAUGUUCAUGCAUGUAUGUCAGUGCACGUGUGUGUGUGUGUGUGUGUGUGUGUGUGUGUGUGUGUGUGCACAUGCCUAGGGAAGCCACAACUCAAAGUCAAAUGUCUUCCUCAGUUGGCUUUCCACUUAUUUUUUGAAACAGAACAUAACUGAAUCUGGAGGUGACUAAUUUGUUUAGACUGGAUAGCCAACAUAGCCAUCAAAGCCUAGGGAGCUUCUUGUCUCUGCCUCGCAGCACUGGGAGUACAGGUUGAGCUGCCAGGCCUGGCUUUACAUGGUUCUGGGGACUGAAUUCAGGUCCUUAUGCCUAUACAGUAAGUGCUUCACCAACUGAGCCCUCUCCCUGGUCUCUCAGAUUUACUUAUUAGAAACUGCAUCCAUUCAUUUAGGCUCUCUAUUUUGACUCACUUUCAUUUCUAAACAAUGAGAAAGAUGCCACAUGUUAUUUCAGAUGUUUAGAAUGGAACCAUUCUCUUGUUGGAGAUUGUAAAAUCAUAGGUAAAGAUUUACUUUGUCAACAGACCAAAGAAAAGAUAACACAUAAUCCAUAUUCAGAAUCCCCCACUUAAUUAUAAAAGACAAAGCAGGACUUGGUAUGGCACUUAGUUUAUAGACUACUUGUCUGACAUGAGAAGGCUCAUGUGAGGCACGAGGAUCAGCACCUGAAAGCCAUUUCCCACUGAGUCUGAGGCCAGCCUGGGCUAUAUGAGGCUCUGUCUCCCUUUCCAAUUUGUAUCCCCUUGAUCUCCUUUUGUUGUCUUAUUGCUCUAGCCAGAACUUCGAGUUCUAUAUUGAACAGAUAUGAAGACAGUGGACAGCCUUGUCUUGUUCUGAUUUUAGUGGGGUCACUUUGAGUUUCUCUCCAUUUAGUUUGAUGUUGGCUGUUGGCUGCUGUAUAUUGCCUUUAUUAUGUUUAGGAAUGUUCUUUACUCAUUGCUUGUUUUCGAGACAGGAGAGAUGGUGUAAGCCAGUAAGAGAGCUUAGCAUGUAAAGUAAGGAACCCGAGUUAAGAUAUCUAGUACCAAAUAAAAGCUGGACUUGGGAACUAGCUUGUCUGUAACUCCAGCACUCAUUGUGGGUGGGGAGCAGAACUGAGGUAGGCAGAUGUCCUGAAUGUCUGGCUACCUAGUCUAGCCAAAUCUGUGAGCUCCAAGAUCAAUGAGAUAUCCAGUCUCAAAAAAUAAGGUAAAGACAUUGGAAGACACUGGACAUUGACUUCUGGCCUCCACAUGUGCAUGUGUGACAGAGAGACAGACAGAGAGACAGACAGACAGACAGACACACACACACACACACACACAGAGAGAGAGAGAGAGAGAGAGAGAGAGAGAGAGAGAGAGAGAGAGAGAGAAGCAUAUAGUAGAUCAAACUGAAUGUGGUUUGAUGGUUUGAUUCAGGAUAGAGUGGUGGGAAACAGCUCCAUCUAUUGAUGUUUUUGCUGGCUUUCUGUCAUCUCCAAAGAUGCACUAUGUAACUCCUAAGACAUCUUAGCGCAGAAUAAAUAGAAAUCCAAAGAGCGCUGAUGACUUGCCUAGGACCAUGAAGUCACUUAGUACAGCGCCAGAGCUUCUUAGGCACUACUUACAAGCUCACUAUCUCCUUCCCUUUCCCAUCAGAUAGCUGGUUUAUCUGAAGCUCUCUAGGACCCUCUGGUAUCUCCUUUUAUGCUCCCCCACUUGCAGAAUAUAGUCUACUUUGCACUGUUUAUAACUGGCUUCUGAGACCCUAUUCGCAAUUAAGUCAAACAUUCUUUAUAGGUUCAUUUAAAGUUCCUUGUAAGCUUAACCCUGUUUAUCAAUUCAAAGCUGAUGUGUCAGUGAUCCCUACAGCAUCUAUAAGCUCCUCAAAUACCACAGCUCUUUCUAAUCUGUCUCUCAAGGUUCAAGUCAGGAUUACUGAAGUCUGUUCUGACAUUACUGAUUUGUGGUCACUAAUUUUAAUUUUUGAAGGAUUAUUUUUUUGCCUUGUUUUUUUAUUGAUUUUAUUGAGGUAUAUGUCUGUGCUCUCCUCCCUGCCUCUCCCCUCCCCUUCAACUCUCUCCCAUGGUCCUCAUGGGCCCAGUUUACUCAGGAGAUCUUGUCCUUU